RNAcentral lists this long non-coding RNA (347 nucleotides) under Androctonus crassicauda. Lineage: Eukaryota; Metazoa; Arthropoda; Arachnida; Scorpiones; Buthidae. The record is from RNAcentral.
CAAGGAGCUAUACAGAAUAAAUAUAUAAAAAAAUUAAAAUGGAUAAUAUCUAAGCAAAUGAAAACGAGGAACCAGUCAAACUUAGAGACGUAUGUGGCCUUAGAUGGUAUAAUCGUUCCUGAUUUUGUUAAGGAGGUACUAAGACUGGGCCCGAACACUGUAAUACAGAAUCCCCCAACGUGGGAAAGUCUGGCAAUACAGCUAGAAUCACUUCUACAAGAAUGUAGCCAAGUGAAAGCAGAUGAACUUAGAUGGCAAGUAGCCAGGUCUUUGAAAAACACCAGUUAUAAUGAUUUAAAAUCCCUAAGAUUAUGAGUAAAAAGAGCAGAGGAAUGGCUGGAACAGAU